UACGUAGGUGGCGAGCGUUGUCCGGAUUUACUGGGCGUAAAGGGAGCGUAGGCGGACUUUUAAGUGAGAUGUGAAAUACUCGGGCUCAACUUGAGUGCUGCAUUUCAAACUGGAAGUCUAGAGUGCAGGAGAGGAGAAUGGAAUUCCUAGUGUAGCGGCGAAAUGCGUAGAGAUUAGGAAGAACACCAGUGGCGAAGGCGAUUCUCUGGACUGUAACUGACGCUGAGGCUCGAAAGCGUGGGGAGCAAACAGG
This 253-nucleotide ribosomal RNA is filed under the name uncultured bacterium. RNAcentral describes it as "partial 16S ribosomal RNA". It matches the Rfam family "Bacterial small subunit ribosomal RNA", at positions 524 to 776 of the family's 1533-position model. The record is from RNAcentral.